This 1135-nucleotide ribosomal RNA is filed under the name Sarea resinae. Its description in RNAcentral is "partial large subunit ribosomal RNA". It matches the Rfam family "Eukaryotic large subunit ribosomal RNA", at positions 135 to 1411 of the family's 3401-position model. The record is from RNAcentral. Lineage: Eukaryota; Fungi; Ascomycota; Sareomycetes; Sareales; Zythiaceae.
GGUCCGAGUUGUAAUUUGUAGAGGAUGUUUCGGGUGUGGCUCCGGUCUAAGUUCCUUGGAACAGGACGUCAUAGAGGGUGAGAAUCCCGUAUGUGACUGGAAGCCUUCGUCCAUGUGAAACUCCUUCGACGAGUCGAGUUGUUUGGGAAUGCAGCUCAAAAUGGGUGGUAAAUUUCAUCUAAAGCUAAAUACUGGCCAGAGACCGAUAGCGCACAAGUAGAGUGAUCGAAAGAUGAAAAGCACUUUGGAAAGAGAGUUAAAAAGUACGUGAAAUUGUUGAAAGGGAAGCGCUUGCAACCAGACUUGCUCGCGGUUGCUCAGCCGGUGUUCUCACCGGUGCACUCUUCCGCGAUCAGGCCAGCAUCGGUUUGGGCGGCUGGAUAAAGGCUCUGGGAAUGUGGCUCCUCUCGGGGAGUGUUAUAGCCCAGGGUGCAAUGCAGCCCGCCCGGAUCGAGGACCGCGCUUCGGCUAGGAUGCUGGCGUAAUGGUUGUAAGCGACCCGUCUUGAAACACGGACCAAGGAGUCUAACAUCUAUGCGAGUGUUUGGGUGUCAAACCCAUGCGCGUAAUGAAAGUGAACGGAGGUGGGAACCCUUAAGGGUGCACCAUCGACCGAUCCUGAUGUCUUCGGAUGGAUUUGAGUAAGAGCAUAGCUGUUGGGACCCGAAAGAUGGUGAACUAUGCCUGAAUAGGGUGAAGCCAGAGGAAACUCUGGUGGAGGCUCGCAGCGGUUCUGACGUGCAAAUCGAUCGUCAAAUUUGGGUAUAGGGGCGAAAGACUAAUCGAACCAUUUUACUACUAGGUGGUUAGGAGGCCACUAAAAGGGUGUGCCUAGUCCUGCUCUCCAGGGCAACACUGUCAAAUUGCGGGGACGUCCUAAAGACACUGCUACCAAGCGGGCGUGGAAACACAGCCUGUGGCCGGGGUAAUGACCUAGGGUAUGGUAAAAACGCAGUGUAUGAUCUCUGUCGACAAACAGAGUUGAAAUGGAUAAUCCGCAGCCAAGUCCUAAGUCUUGCUUAGCAGGAUACGGAUGCUGUUCACAGACUAAAUGUCAGUGGGUCUACCUUAGAAAGGAGGUAAGGCUUAAGAUAUAGUCGGGCCGCCCAGAGAUGGGUCUGGUAGGAAAAAGUCC